RNAcentral lists this ribosomal RNA (465 nucleotides) under uncultured Klebsiella sp. RNAcentral's name for it is "bacterial SSU rRNA". It matches the Rfam family "Bacterial small subunit ribosomal RNA", at positions 338 to 795 of the family's 1533-position model. The record is from RNAcentral. Lineage: Bacteria; Pseudomonadati; Pseudomonadota; Gammaproteobacteria; Enterobacterales; Enterobacteriaceae.
CCUACGGGCGGCUGCAGUGGGGAAUAUUGCACAAUGGGCGCAAGCCUGAUGCAGCCAUGCCGCGUGUGUGAAGAAGGCCUUCGGGUUGUAAAGCACUUUCAGCGGGGAGGAAGGCGUUAAGGUUAAUAACCUUGUCGAUUGACGUUACCCGCAGAAGAAGCACCGGCUAACUCCGUGCCAGCAGCCGCGGUAAUACGAAGGGUGCAAGCGUUAAUCGGAAUUACUGGGCGUAAAGCGCACGCAGGCGGUCUGUCAAGUCGGAUGUGAAAUCCCCGGGCUCAACCUGGGAACUGCACUCGAAACUGGCAGGCUAGAGUCUUGUAGAGGGGGGUAGAAUUCCAGGUGUAGCGGUGAAAUGCGUAGAGAUCUGGAGGAAUACCGGUGGCGAAGGCGGCCCCCUGGACAAAGACUGACGCUCAGGUGCGAAAGCGUGGGGAGCAAACAGGAUUAGAUACCCCUGUAGUC